This 2072-nucleotide long non-coding RNA is filed under the name Danio rerio (zebrafish). RNAcentral describes it as "uncharacterized LOC108190803 (LOC108190803)". Lineage: Eukaryota; Metazoa; Chordata; Actinopteri; Cypriniformes; Danionidae. The record is from RNAcentral.
UUUCCAAUUUGCUCGGUUUGACCGAUCGCGACCGGAAGCCUGACUACCCAUACACAGACAAACACCAAACGGAAAAGACAACACAACAGAUAUAUGUCCUUCUUGUACACAUCCAGCAGAUCAUCAAGACCAGCGAACCACUGACCUAAACCUGAAGCACAUUUCCCCUAAACAGAGAAUAUAAAUGAAAAAAUAAGCGGAAUGAACCAUCAAUUUAUCCAGCAUGUGUUCUACGCAGAUGAUUCCCUUCCAGCUGCAACCCAUCACUGGGAAACACCCAUACACUCUUAUUCACAUACAUACACUACAGACAAUUUAGCUUACCCAAUUAGACAAUAGCGCAUGUUUUUGGAGGGGAAACCGGAGCAUCCGGAGGAAAACCACGCCAACACGUUGAGAACAUUCAAACUCCACACAGAAAUGGCAACUAACCCAGCUGAGGCUCGAACCAGUGACCUUCAUGCUGUGAGGCGACAGCACUACCCUCUGCGCCACCUCGCUGUCCACCAGAUAUGUCCAUAUCCUAAAUUUUUGUAUAUUAGCUACAUAUUCAAUUACAAAUAAUAGACAGUGUUAGUUUGUUUUGUUGUAUUUAUUUGGUGUUCAGAGAACUGCAUCAGUGAUUCCACGCAUCAGGUUAAAUUUGUUUUCUCAGACUCCAUGGUCAGUCCAUUACUACUACUGUAUCUGUUCAACCUAGAUAAUGGAACCAACCAUGAUUAAAGAUAUGUCGAUAUUCCAAGACGGUGGCACCCUAUUUUAUAAAUCUAUAGAAAAGCAUGCCAUUUACUCCAGAAAGGAUACAUUAAUCUGGUUUGACCUAUCUUUUUUUAUUAUUAAAGUGGAAAUCGUAAUGUAAGCUUGACUGACUGCUUACCUUUCACUUUAGGAGUGAUAACAGAAAAAGAGGAGCAAGAAUCAGGUCUGAAAAAGUUGUUUUGUGUAUGUUAAUGAACCAGUAAUGCAUUGAGGGCUUUGCAUACGUUUGUUUAUGAUUAAGUUUACAUUUAACAUAUGCCAGUUCUUGUUAUCUUCCCUUUUUUUGAGCCAUCGCAUACUCUCUGCUGCUCUCUGCAAUGGAUUUCUAAAAGUGUUACACAAUGCUCCUCAUAAAAUUUAGAGUUUCCUUUCCUAAACAUUCAUAAGUGUGUGCAGUACACCUGUCAUGAUGGACAAAAAUGAGCCAUUCUCAAAUCCUCAGCCAAUCACUGUAUAAAAACAAACAGACUUUUUACCUCCCAAUUUUUUUUUGUGAAAACAUCGACCCAUUGCUUUAAAAGUUUUCAAGGCAACAGGAAAUUGUGUAUCUAACUCUUGUUUACCCCAAAACAGGCUUUCUAUUUAAGAAAUAUGGAUCGCAUAUGGUCUCCAGCAUUGAUUGUCUAGGCUGCAAACGUGACAUACUGUAAUUAGUGCCUUCUAAUUAAGAAUACAAUUCAAUUGCUAAUCCGGAACAACAACCAAGAGAGAUUUGCAGAGUAAACAAGAACACAGAUAAACACAAUGGAAAUCAAAUGUCUCAUUUGCAAGAUAUUAUUGGUAGAUAUCAGAUUUCCCCCUCUGUUGAAAUGUCAUCACCUCACAGCUUGCAGUGUGAAGAAAAGCUACUAGAACAUGAAUAAAAGAUGUCAGAAAUGAAUCAAGCUGGUUGCUUGUGACAUAAAGGGUGCACAGAGUCAGGGGAAUCAUUGACACUAAUCAUGCCCUUGUGCUGAUCCUGCGGUGGAACAACUGCAUCACCUGAAGGGAAUGUAGGUCACAGUGAGGAUCAGGCCUUGAGCCCUAGCCCGAUGCCGCCUGUUAAAGAAUGACGUAACUGUUUGUUUUAAUAAAAUAGCCACAAAGAAUAUCUAUAACACUUGACUUAACUGAAAAUAAACAUAUGACAAUGUGUUAGAGCAAAAAAAGCGACAUUUGCAAGGAAAUAACUAGGCCUGAAUGUAUUUGUGAUUCAAACAGAUGCAAAUUCCUUUCUUUCACUUGAACAGUAUAUGGGUUAAAGAUAAGACCAGUCCCAUUGUGUUGUUGUAUCAUAUUAAAUGUGAUUUACACAAAAAGCAUAUGAAAGAAAA